UAAAUGCUAUAAUUAAUUUGAAUUGCAGAAUUCAGUGAAUCAUCUAAUCUUUUAACUCACCUUGCGCUCCUUGGUAUUCCUUGGAGCAUGCCUGUUUGAGUAUCAUGAAAUCUUCAAAGUAAAUCUUUUGUUAACUCAAUUGGUUUCUACUUUGGUAUUGGAGGUCUUUGCAGCUUCACACCUGCUCCUCUUUGUUCAUUAGCUGGAUCUCAGUGUUAUGCUUGGUUCCACUCGGCGUGAUAAGUUAUCUAUCGCUGAGGACACUGUAAAAGGUGGCCAAGGUAAAUGCAGAUGAACCGCUUCUAAUAGUCCAUUGACUUGGACAAUACUUUUAUGAUCUGAUCUCAAAUCAGGUAGGACUACCCGCUGAACUUAAGC
RNAcentral lists this unclassified non-coding RNA (378 nucleotides) under plant metagenome. RNAcentral describes it as "partial contains 5.8S ribosomal RNA, internal transcribed spacer 2, and large subunit ribosomal RNA". The stretch from base 1 to 105 matches the Rfam family "5.8S ribosomal RNA", at positions 50 to 154 of the family's 154-position model. The record is from RNAcentral.